This 498-nucleotide ribosomal RNA is filed under the name uncultured bacterium. RNAcentral's name for it is "partial 16S ribosomal RNA". It matches the Rfam family "Bacterial small subunit ribosomal RNA", at positions 30 to 523 of the family's 1533-position model. The record is from RNAcentral.
AUUGAACGCUGGCGGCAUGCCUUACACAUGCAAGUCGAACGGUAACAGGUCUUCGGAUGCUGACGAGUGGCGAACGGGUGAGUAAUACAUCGGAACGUGCCUAGUAGUGGGGGAUAACUACUCGAAAGAGUGGCUAAUACCGCAUGAGAUCUACUGAUGAAAGCAGGGGAUCGCAAGACCUUGUGCUACUAGAGCGGCCGAUGGCAGAUUAGGUAGGUGGUGGGAUAAAAGCUUACCAAGCCGACGAUCUGUAGCUGGUCUGAGAGGACGAUCAGCCACACUGGGACUGAGAAACGGCCCAGACUCCUACGGGAGGCAGCAGUGGGGAAUUUUGGACAAUGGGCGCAAGCCUGAUCCAGCUAUGCCGCGUGCAGGAUGAAGGCCUUCGGGUUGUAAACUGCUUUUGUACGGAACGAAAAGCCCCGGGUUAAUACCCUGGGGUCACGACGGUACCGUAAGAAUAAGCACCGGCUAACUACGUGCCAGCCGCCGCGGUAA